CUGAAAAAGCCCCCCUCGGCUUAUACUCGAGUGAGGGUCCUGGUUGGCUUAUAUUUGGGUCAGCUUAUACUUGAGAAUAUAUGGUACAUUUAUUAUUUUUCUCUAUUAUUAUUGGUAUUGUUACAUUUAUUAUUUUUCUCUAUUAUUGUUGCUACUAUUACAUUUAUUUUACUCUAUUUUUAUUAUUUUUAUUAAUACAUUUGUUAUUUCACUCUGAUCUUAUUAUAUUAUUAUUAUUGCAUUUAUUAUUUUACUCUAUUUAUUAUUACUUGUAUUAUUUUCCUGUAUUAAUUAUUAUUAUUAUUACAUGUAUUAUUUUACUCUAUUAUUAUUAAAAGGAUACAUAAGCACAUUUACAUUGAAGAAGAUGAAAAUAAUGAUUUGAUCAGGGUUGGACAGUCUUAUCUUAAAUUUGCGCUUUAUGUAAAUAUUCAAAAACAUUUAACCUACUGAUGCCUCAAUUAAUGUAAUUUUAUUGGUAUCUAUUUUUAUUUCUGAAAUUUACCACCCUCGGCUUAUACUGGAGUCAAUGUUUUCCCAGUUUUUUUGUGGUAAAAUUAGGUUCCUCGGCUUAUAUUCGGGUCGGCUUAUACUCGAGUGUAUAUUCGGGUCGGCUUAUACUCGAGGCCCAAGGGAGAGAGUUCCACUGCCGGACAGCCCUCACUGUGAGGAAGUUCUUUGUUAUGAUUGAGCCUCAUGGCUCUGUUACUGACAGACGUGGGCGUAAGACUCCUCGAGAGUCAGAUACUCUCGAGGAGCGAGAAAGAAAAAGACUGCGAGACAUUUUUGCAGCACCAUCUGACGAAGAGUCUUUUGAGGGGUUUACGGAGAGAAUGGAGGAGGGGCUGGUUAGCUCGGAGGAGGAUGAGAUGGAUUGGACUCGGGUAAGGGAGGAAUUGGGUGCCACUGGUCAUGAUGGGAUAGAAGAUGAAUGGGGACCUUCAGGAUUAGACCCAUGGCUUAGCUGGAGGGAUGGGACGGGAUCCACAGCUGGAGAUGCUGUGGGGCGUAGUCAGAGGUGGAUGAGUUGUGUUGUCAAAUUUUGUAUUUGUUAUAGUCACAAUGCGUUGUUGUGAGUUUUGUGGGUCCGGAUUGUGGUUUUGUGGUGUGGUUGUGUUGUUACAACUGAGAGGCAAGGCUUUUGUGUUGUGUUGCCAAGUUUUGUAUUUCUAGGGCGUUUAGUUGUGUGCCAAGUUUUGUAUUUCUGGGGCGUUUAGUUGUGUUGUUAUAGUCACGAUGCACUGUUGUGAGUUUUCUGGGUCCGGAUUGUGGUUUUGUGUUGUGGUUGUGUUCUUACAAUUACAACUGGGAGGCAAGGCUUUUGCGUUGUGUUGUCAAAUUUUGUAUUUCUGGGGCGUUUAGUUGUGUUAUAGUCACGAUGCGUUGUGAGUUUUGUGAGUCCGGAUUGUGGUUUUGUGGUGUAGUUGUGUUGUUACAACUGGGAAAAAAGGCUUUUGUGUUGUGUUGUCAAGUUUUGUAUUUCUGGGGCAUUUAGUUGUGUGCCAAGUUUUGUAUUUUUGGGGCGUUUAGUUGUGUUGUUAUAGUCAUGAUGCAUUGUUGUGAGUUUUAUGGGUCCAGAUUGUGGUUUUGUGGUGUGGUUGUGUUGUUACAACCUGGAGGGAAGGCUUUUGCAUUGUGUUGCCAAGUUUCGUAUUUCUGGGGCGUUUAGUUGUGUUGUUAUCGCAUGAUGCGUUGUUGUGAGUUUUGUGGGUCUGGAUUGUGGUUUUGUGGUGUGGUUGUGUUGUUGUAACCUGGAGGCAAGCCUUUUGCAUUGUGUUGCCAAAUUUCGUAUUUCUGGGAUGUUUAGUUUUGUUGUUAUAGUCACUGCGCAAACAACUUUAUCAUUUUAUAUAUAUAGAUAAUAACAUUUCUUGAGGCUCCACAAGAAACGUUUGCUUCAAAAAGAGCUCUAUGCCUGAAAAAGUUUGAGAACCCCUGCUCUAUUCUAUCAAUGGCCCUCUACAUUGGAAAUGCAAAACAGUUUCUAUGCAAGAAGAUUAAUGGACCCAAAUCUCACAUUAGAAACAGGAAUCCUCAUAAUCCAGAUGGUAACUUUCCUGGGCACACUGUAAGGGAUUUGCAGGUUGUGAUCCCUGGACCAGGAAAUUACAAAGAAAGACUAAAAAGAGAAACUGCUAAUUUAUUAGCAGAAAUAUGAAUAAAGACAAUGGCUGACGUACAUAUAAUAUUACAAGUUCUCACUACUGCACAUAUAACAAAAGAGAGAGUUUUGUUUUUUAUUAAUUUUUUAACGCAUGCAAACAACAUGAGAGAGAUUUUUGAUCUUUGAGAAACUGACUUUUGGUAAGCAGAUUUAUUGCUUUUACACAUCAAUAAAAAUAACCACUAUAAAGAUCUGAAAGCCUUUUGAAAAUUUAGGACAAGUGACAUGAUUUACAUUUGUUCUGGUCGCUAUUAUGUUCUAUCCAAUGAUUUAUGCCUGAAGCCUUAAUAACACUUGGUACAGGUUCUGUAGAAAUGGGUUUAUAUCUAUGAAAGCUCAGGUGAAAAUGUAGCAGUUUUAGGCUCCUUCCACACAGCUGUAUAAAAUCCACAUUGAACUAGAUUAUAUGGCAGUGUGGACUCAGAUAACCCAGUUUAAAGCAGAUAUUUUGGAUUAUCUGCCUUGUUAUUCUGGGCCACAUUUCUCUCUCCCCCCCCCCCCCUU
Long non-coding RNA from Anolis carolinensis (green anole), 2668 nucleotides. The record is from Ensembl. NCBI's taxonomy places the organism in Eukaryota, Metazoa, Chordata, Lepidosauria, Squamata, Anolidae.